CCUUGACACUUUUAGUAACAGGUAGUGAAGAAAGUGAAGUCUGGGGUAGAUGCAUUAUAUUAACGCGUCAGUUGACGUUAUUAAUCAUUACUUACACCGAAUUUGAAGAAAAUUGUUAUAAUGAUGUUACCAGUUGUAAUACCAGUUUUGAUUAGCUGUUUUGUCUCAGUUUAUUCAGAAACUACUGUUGAAGUACCACGCUGGAAGAAAAUAUUGGGUAAAUAUAUGAAAUGGGAAGGCCGAUAUAAUUACCAGUCAGAGAUACAUCAUUGUAGAAUGAUUGUUCAUUCUAUACAGUUAACACAAACUGGUGGUAUGGUGGCUACAUUUAAAGAUGAGUCCACAAAUAUGGAUAUAGAAGGGUAUUCUACACUUACAGAAGAAGAUGUUAUAGAGAUACGUAAAGUUACGGCCUAUAAUUCAAGUGACAUAUUUCCGCCAACGAAAGGUUUCCGAGCUUACUUAAAACUGAGAUUGGAUCGAGAUCGUUGGAUUUUAUCAGGAAAUGUAACAGAACCAAAAGGUUUUAGUGUCCUAUAUCUUGAUGCUAUCAGUUCACAUAAUACAGCUACAGUAUUGAAUGAUGAUCAGAGAGCAUCAAGAAUUGGAUUAUCUGUGGGUAUACCGUUAGCUCUAGCUAUUAUAUUAUCAAUAGUUGCUGUUAGUUUGAUAGUCUGGGCUAUUAAACGUGGAUAUUUACGACUUAGACCCAACAGUUAUAAACAUUUUAGAAACAACGAUAUGGUCACAUUUAAUGACUGUAAUCAACGUCCCACCAUGGAGAAGGACUCUGGUCAACAGAUGACGGAUAGUAACACAAUAGAUCUUGGAGAAACACCAUCUUCUGUUCACAUCUAAACAUUCCAUCCAUAUCUUUUCUUUUUUCGACUAUUCAUAGCUUUGAACAUUGAUGUUUUCCAUAACUUUUUACCCCUAAUCUCUCUGACCAUUGCUGUAAUUGGAGCCAAAACUUGGGUUUUUGAAUGGGUGUGUCUAUUUUUGUCAUCCAAUUAAAUCUUUCAUUGUUGAAAGAUUUGGGGUCUUUGCUUAAUCUUCGGACAGUUGAUUAACUGUAUUAAAAUAUGGUGAAAACAUUGUCGGUCUGCUUCAAAUAUGACCAUAGAAACCCAUGCUAUUUUGACAAGGUACUGCUUCACAGUUCAAGUUUUUCUCCAAAUUUGAUGUGAAGCAGUGGGACAAUGAAAGGAUGAGCCCUAUUGUCCAUCUCUUGCAAAAUGUUGAUGUAUCUUGCAAAAUUAAAGUAUUCUGUUUUUAUAUGCCCACAUUGAAAUGUGGUCGUAUAUUGUCGUCGCCCCCGUCCGUCCAGCGUCCACAAGAUCUAGAGGCUAAAGUUAAUAUCCGAUUGACUUUAAAUAAAUUUAUACGCCAUGAUUGAGGUCAUGAGAUGAAGAAUCCAAUUGAUUUUCAACGAUUUCCGAUAAUUACUGCUAAAGUAAUGGCCCUUGAUCACUUUGAAAAAGCUUGUGACGCUCUAGAAGCUAAAGUUAUCAUCCUAUUUACUUCAGAUUGAUACACAGAGUUUAAGGUCUUGAGACGAACACGUAUAUUGAUUUUCAAUGAAUUUUGAUAACUUCCAACAGCUGAAUCCAUGGUAUUAAAUGUUUCGUAUACUAAACUGUUAGCAUGGGGCAGAACUUUCUAAAACCAAACAAAUUCUAAUGAUUUUCUGAUAAUUACUUUAUGAGUUGUUUCUCUUAAUCAGAUUUUAGUGUACAUGUAUUAUAAAUGUUUCAUUACCAAAAAAAGUCAAAAUAUGCAACAGCUCUUGUUGACUUCCCGGACGAUUGAGCUGCUGUGGGCGUAUGUUUCGUUGCCUGGCAACCUAUCUUUCAUAAUAAUAUGGUAGUAUUGGGUAGUAAUAAUAGUAUUGGGUAAAUUGUUCUGCCAGAUUUUUCAUGUUAAAUUACGGAAAAUGUUCCUCAUAUAGGUACACAUAUUUGUACCUCUGGUAUAUAACUUGCAUCUUAGAUAUUAAAAUAAAUGGCUUUUAUUGCUCAUAUUUAAUACAGAUUUAUAUUGUUUUCAGCGAGUUCUUGAAACAUCAAUGCUAAUUGUUUAAUCAAAUGUCUGACAUCAUAGGGUCAAAAGCCACUAAUAUGACCCCUGACAUGACCUCCCAUUACAACCGGUCAGAUCUUCAUGUAGUAGAGGCCAUUGCAAGCAUAAAAAAAAUGAAACGAAAUAUAGAUUUAUAUUUUUAUCAGAUUGAGGGACAUCAGCCUCACUUUUGGUUUGUUUAUAUAGUAUUUUAUACCCAGCUUUAUACUGUCAUAGUAUGUAUAUAUACGUUUUAUCUCAAGAGCUGAAUUUUGAAUUAAAAUGGUUAUAAUUUGGUUCAAUAUUGUUGUUGAUAAAUGUCUUCAGCUGUUUUUAGGAUUUUAUAUUUUAAUGAUACAAUCUAGUAUUUUACUCUUUACAAUAACACUAACAGUAUAAUAUGUUUUAUUGUGCAUAAUAUUUUAAAUUUCUAUCUACAUUUACUUCUAUCAAAAUAAAUUUAUUGCACCCGUUUGUGCACUGAUAAUUUUUGGAACUAAUCGCCAUUAGUUUUAAAAUAUUCUUAUCUAUCUUAUACUGGUCACAGAUUGUAGUUGGGAGAAGUGAGUCACAGUGGCUAAAUGAGUAAGACGUUUGUUCGCUAACCUGGUGAUGUCGUGUUCAGUCCCUGCAUUGGCCAUGAAAGUUCAACGGAUUUUCCCUCAUGGUUCCCCCAUGUCAGUGGUGCAGGACAGAGGGUCUGGCAAGGGACAACGUUUAGUUCGGAUGUGACGAAAAACCAAGGUUCUGUGUACACAUUGACUUGCAUAUAAAAGAUCCCUUAGUUCCUCAUAGUACACUGUAUGGCAUAUGCCCGUCUGCAGUACAGUAGGACGUUAAACCCCAUUUCAUUUCAUAGUAGCGAAAUUUCUAGUAGUAUAAUAAGAAUGGCAAACAUUUUGGAAAAACCCAUUUCACAUUAUUGAGCAGGUCUAUUGACAACUAAUGGCCUAUUUAUUCCACAGACCGAAAAUUUCUCCUGCAUAUCACCUGAACUGACAGUUAAUAAUGAAACCAGUCCCAAGUAGUCUUGCAUUUCUAGGUAUAAAUCUCUAAUAUGUUUUUAUUUUAUUUAUUACAAGCUGAUUGGUAUUUUAUUUUAGGGGUAGAUGUCUAUAAUAUUUGCUAUUUAUUAUAUUAAUUAGAAGGUUAAUAAAAUAAAUAUUUUUUCCAUUCAUUAAAAUUAUAUUUCAUGUUUGAAAUGUUUCUCCGAGUUCAAUUCUUCAUAAAUGUAACAAUGUUGUAAAAUUUUUUCAUUGUAUUAAAUAUGCAUUCAAGCUUUGUAUAUAUACAUGUUUACAUUCCAUCCAAUUAUAUUAUUCUAUUAUGUUUACCAUUUUAUAAGAAAAUGAAUAAAAUACAAGUAUU
Patella vulgata (common limpet) is the source of this 3426-nucleotide long non-coding RNA. RefSeq lists it as uncharacterized. The record is from RefSeq and is a predicted model, not a curated record. The transcript has 5 exons. NCBI's taxonomy places the organism in Eukaryota, Metazoa, Mollusca, Gastropoda, Patellidae.